This is an RNA transcript of Paramacrobiotus metropolitanus, 2230 nucleotides long. RefSeq lists it as uncharacterized. The record is from RefSeq and is a predicted model, not a curated record. The transcript has 5 exons. Lineage: Eukaryota; Metazoa; Tardigrada; Eutardigrada; Parachela; Macrobiotidae.
CGAGUACCAAGCUGCAGUACCGUUCGACUUCCAAACAGAUCAAAGAUAUAUGCACAGAUUUUUUUACUUUUCUCCCGUUGCGUAUGGGCCAGUCCAGUAUUAAUAGUAAUAUGAUGACUAACACAAGUAUGGAGUCCAGCGCGAUGCCUCCGUAUGAGCGGCUCUUAGCUGAUGCCAACCAAAUGAGUUAUCAGAACACCGUCGCUGUCUACCGCGAUGACGGAGCAUGGUGGUUGGGUAACAUUCAAGACCUGGAAGGAGACCUCGUGUUUAUCAGUUUUAGUUCGAAAAAGGCUGCGGCCGGCUGGAUCCAUGCGAGACACGUAUGGCCGGUGCCAUUCCUUAUCGAUAGUCACCACUGGGCAGAUAAUCAGUGGAAAAACAUGCCAGUGUAUGUCGCACUGCGUGACGAAGACGACGGCCCGUUCAGGUUUCGACCCGCAACUCUGUUGGGCUCUGUAUGGGGCGGAGACUGGCUGAUGUUCUUCGUCACAACGGCAACUCCUGAAACAAACAGCGACUCUGCGCACAGAUCGACUCGCACGGAACUGGUAGACGAGUGUCAAGUCAUCCGGAAGAUGCCGGUCGACGAACCACCAUUGCAGUACCGAAACGACGGUUUAGCCUACAGCAAGCACUUCAUUCCCUGUGUCAGGGCCCAAGAAGUUCUGAGUGACACCUCUAAUAAAUAUCGGAUUAUCGGAUAUUUUCGCAACGCCUUUGAUUGCCAUUCGGCGCCAGGAAAGCACUCGGAGCCAUGCCGAUUUCAUUUACGAAUCGAAGAGGAUGGUUGCACGUUCAUUACCAUAAACGCUUUCGCCAAUGACCCGGAGACGGCGGCGACGGCCACAACGGCUGUAACACUGUCGCGAUUACUUGAGACACAUCUAGCAAACCGUGCGGAUCUACCAGUGGCCGCUUUCUCAAAUAGUGAAGGUGGUCUGCAUGAAAAAUAUGUGGAAUUUGACUCGUGGAACUCGGAUGCACAUGUUUGUUAUCUGCCGCAUCCACUAUUGAAUGAGAUCUUUUCUCACUUAGAUCUGCAUGCACGCAUGAGGAUCCAGCGAGUAUGUGCACUGUGGCGGAUCCUGCUGACCCGCAAAAUUAGUCACUUCAGUGUAUCCCUGGAAAGCUGCAUAGAAACCCUGUUCGACAAGUGCAACUGGUACAAAAUCGCAUUACUUCUCAGCCGUACAUUCGACUCAAGAACCCAAAGCGUCGUUAUACUGAACUGCAUCCCGGGAUAUCAUGACUUAUUUUUAACUGACUUGCUAACCGUCAUGGGAAUCAAAUUACCUUUACUUGUGUUGAAAAACAGCGUCAUUACCCAAUGCGCAAGUGUUCCCUACUUGCCAGACAAAUUGCGCAGAAAGCACGGUGCAACAUUCCAGAUAGGUCUACUGAGAAACAUUUGUGAACGCAUCCUGCUGUACAACUGUACAGUGGCUAAAGUUUUCGGCCCACCCAUGUAUGACGUUUUCGUAUCGAACGGAAUGGGCUUUGUGCCUCUGCCGGCACACGAACGGGAGGCAAUGCGCUUCGUGGCGCAGACAUAUGACUACAUGUUGGAUAUUGACGGACUACAGAUCACCAUUCCCCGACUGCAUUUUAGCUGCGAUAAAGGCUGGGAGCACAUGGCCAGCCGCUUUAUGUGGGCAUUGGAUAACAAUAAUCCCCCGAUAACGGAUGAUGUGUACGCCAAGGUUGCGGCGGUACAUACUCGCUGGGUCGACACGCUCGCCUAUCCGGAGCAGUGGGAGACUGUUCGCAGCUUCCUGUGCAUUCAAACUGGGCCGGCAGUAGAACCCGGGUGUGCUGUAUUUCUGUAAGCCGUGUUCGUACCUGCUGCCGAUACGUUUCCGGCGAUAUGCGUUAUCGAACGCAGCAGCAGGGCAAGUGCGGAUUACAAUAGCCCUACCACCAUUACAGCCGUAACGUCCACCCCAGCCGAAGCAGCAAGCGGUUCAGCGGGUUCGACAUGGACGGCACGCCGAGACAGUGGGACCAGGUGGAUUUACGGGAUGUAAAUGUGAAACAGUUUAGCAGAAUGGUUUUAUUGGGAAUCAGCAAAGCAUUUCUAUGAAGUAUGGUGGUGCAGUGGUACGAAUUGGAUUGUGAAGAUUGGGUUGCUGUUAUAAUACGGUGAACUCAUAUUUCUUAUGCCAUGUCUAUUAGCAUAGAAGCCCGUACGUAAAUGCAUUUUAUUAUCAAUAACGAUACAAAAUAAAAG